This 1130-nucleotide long non-coding RNA is filed under the name Rattus norvegicus (Norway rat). RNAcentral's name for it is "long non-coding RNA NONRATT015950". The stretch from base 890 to 949 matches the Rfam family "Small nucleolar RNA Z39". Lineage: Eukaryota; Metazoa; Chordata; Mammalia; Rodentia; Muridae. The record is from RNAcentral.
AAAACACGCGAUUGCUCCUGCCCCCUUUAUUAAAGUUCUAAUGCUUUUGGCGAAUGUCUUUGCUGCGUUUUCUCUUUCCUAACAGAAUUUGCCGUUUUCAGUGGAAAACAAGUGGCGGUUACUGCUUAUGAUGACCGUGUACUUUGGAUCUGGAUUUGCUGCUCCUUUCUUUAUAGUAAGGCACCAGCUACUUAAAAAAUAAGGAUAUUUAAUUCAUCCCAUUAACAGGUAAUUAUUGUUUCUAAUUUUUCUACAACAGUAAUUUUUGUUCUGUACCCUAUACACUCCUACAACAUAAAAGUGGAUAGUUGUCUGCUGAUUCCUGAAGGUGAGUAUAAAUGUAUAUUGUAUAAAUAUUGGUAGAGGCAAUUUGGGAAACCUAUAAAAAAAUAAGUUUUGGUCAGUAAAGGUCAGUAUUUAACAAGUACUCCUUUACACGAUCUGAACAUCUGUGCAACACACCUGUAAGGUAAGUAAUAUUAAAACCCCAUGGAAGACACACAGUUGAUUGAGGUUCCAUAGCUAAUUGCACUGGUGUAGGCUUCCUACAUGGGGUAAUCUUGUUCUGUGUAUCACACUUCAUAAUCAGUCUUGUGUCUUCUACUAAAAAUAACUGAAUCUUCUGGGAUUAAAAAUGCACUAGGGAUAUCCAACCUUUAACAUUACCAAGUGUCAUUGACAUCCACAAAGUUGAUGGGGAAGAAACCGUGAAGUGUUCUGGUGUUUCAUUUCUACCAAUGCUAGUGUCUGUUCUGCGGUAUUAGUAAGUUAGUCUGCUGAAGUUGAGAAAUAGUAAGUUCCUCCAUGUCCACAGAAAUGUUGCAUAGUGAUAGCCUAGAUCCCUUCAUAUACAUACAGGUUUAUUGAGCGAAAUUUAUCCAGCAUUUUGGUACAUGUGAUGAAGCAAAUCAGUAUGAAUAAAAUGAUACUGUAAACGCUUUCUGAUGUAUCAAAUUGGUAGAUGAUAUGAAAUUGUUGUAACCUGUAAAGUCAAGCUUCUAAUGCCAUUAAUUUUGCUUUUAUUUUGCAGAAUGAAGAAAGUUUAAGAGAUAUGAUCUGGAAAUUGGAUUAAACUCUUGAACUCUUAUACUAGAAAAAAAUGUAAAUAAACUAAUGAUAUAAAUAUUUAA